RNAcentral lists this long non-coding RNA (5489 nucleotides) under Marmota monax (woodchuck). Lineage: Eukaryota; Metazoa; Chordata; Mammalia; Rodentia; Sciuridae. The record is from RNAcentral.
CUGAUUCAAUAGGUAUUGGUUUGGACUCACUGCAGGAGUCGGGUUGGCUAUGAUUCUUUACUACUUUUUUGAGACUGGUAAGACCUAUAUUUUUGUUUUAUAAUCUUCUGUCUGCCCUUGUUUUUCUUUAUUGUCAUAGAUUAAUAUGGAAUAUUUUUUUACCUAAUUGACCCAAAAGCCUAUUGAUCAUUAUUUUACUCUGUCCUAAGCUCGGACUGAUCUGUGUAUUUAAUGGGGAAGAUGUAGGCAUCUAAAUUUCUCCUUUAAGUCCAGAUUUGUGAUUGUCUUUAUUUACCAUUCUUGUAAGCCUCUGAUCAUAACAGCCACAAUGGCACAAGUAUUACCCUCAUUUUCUUCCUUCCACAUGACACCUUUUCUCUCUACCCCUCUUCCUUCUGUCACUUCUUAUGUUUAUGGAAAGAAGUUAGGUGAAAUCGCCUUCUGCCCCUAAUGUGAGACUUAAGGCAGUAAUGGCUCUGGAUGGUGGAAUUGGAACCCUCUGCUUCUGCCAGUUGUGUGUGUGAUAGGAGCAGAUUACAGGACUCAAUUCUUCAGUUUCCUAUUUCCUCAUCUGUAAAUGAUGGUGUGGACUUUUACCUCUGUGGUCUCCUUCAGCCUUAAAAUUCCUCUUUUUUUUGUUAUCAUUUUUUCUUUUUAGUUGUAUACGACAGUAUAGUCUAUUUUUACAAACAUGGAGUAUAUAUUUUUCUAAUUAGAAUCCCAGACUUUUGGAUGUACAGGAUGUUGAGAUUCACUGUGGUGUAUUCAUAUAUGUACAUAGGAAAGUUAUGUCAGAUUCAUUCCACAGUUUUUCCUAUUCCUAUCUCCCCUUCCUUUCAUUCCCAGGUGUUUAAUCCAUUGAACUUCUACUCUUACUCUCUCCUCCCUUGUUGUGGGUUAGUUUAUACGUAUUAGGGAGACCAUGCUACCUUUGAUUUUGGGGGAUUGGCUUAUUUCACUUAGAUUGUCUUAUUUCACUUAGUCUCCAGAUCUUUCCAUUUACUGGCAAAUGUCAUAAAGUCAUUCUUAUUUAUGGCUGAGUAAUAUUCCAUUGUGCAUAUAUAUCACAUUGUCUUUAUCCAUUCAUUAGUGGAAGGGCACCAGCAAUGUUUCCCCCACAUGCUUGUCAACAUUUAUUGUUACUUGUAUUCUUGAUAAUUCCCAUUCUGACUGGAGUAAGGUGAAAUCUCAGUGUAGUUUUAAUUUGCAUUUCUCUACUUGCUAGAGAUGUUGAAUAUUUUUUUUUCAUUAAUUUGUUCACCAUUUGUAUAUCUUCUUUUUAGAAGUGUCUUUUUAGUUUCUUUGCCCAUUUGUUGAUUGGGUUUUUUUAUUGUUGUUGUUUUUGUUUUUUGGUGUUAAGCUUUUUGAGUUCUUUGUAUAUCAUAGAAAUUAACCCUUUAUCUGAGGUGCAGGUGGCAAAGAUUUUUUCCCAUUCUAUAGGCUCUCUCUUCACACUCUUGAUUGUUUCCUUUGCUGUGAAAAAGCUUUCUUGUUUGAUACCAUCCCAUUUAUUGAUAUUUAUUUUACUUCUAGAACUUUAGGGUCUUGUUGAGGAAGUUGAUUCCUAACCUGACAUGUUGGAGUGUUAGGCCUACAUUUUCUUCUAGUAGGUACAGAGUUUCUAAUCUAAUAUCUAGGUCUUUGAUCCACUUUUAGUUGAAUUUUGUGCAGGGUGAGAGAUAAGAGUUAAAUUUCAUUUUGCUACCUAUGGAUUUCAAGUUCUCCUAGCACUAUUUGUUGAGGAGGCUAUCUUUUCUCAAUGUUUCCCACGUCUUUGUCUAGUAGGAGAUAACUGUAUUUAUGCAGAUUUGUCUUGUGUCUUCUAGUCUAUGCCAUUGAUCUUCAUGUCUGUUUUGGUGCCAACACCAUGCUGUUUGUGUUACUAUAUCUCUGUGGUAUAAUUUAAGGUCUGGUAUUGUGAUGCCUCCUGAUUCACUCUUCUUGCUAAGGAUUGCUUUGGCUAUUCUGGGCCUCUUAUUUUUCAUGAAAUGAAUUUCAUGACUGCCUUUUCUAUUUCUAUGAUGAAUGUCAUUGGAAAUUUAAUAGGAAUUGCAUUAAAUCUGUAUAGCGCUUUUGGUAACAUGGCCAUAUUUUAUUGAAUUAUUUAUUUAUUUAAUUUGUUAUAUAUGAUGGCAGAAUGCAAUUCAUUUCAUAUUACACAUAUAGACCACAAGUUUUCAAGUCACUGGUUGUACACAAAGUAUUUUCACACCAUUUGUAUCUUCAUUUACUUUGGAUAAUAAUGUCUACCUCAUUCCACCCAUCUUUUCUACCCCCAUGUAUCCUUCAUUCCCCUUCCUCCUCUUUGGCCUAUCUAAAGUUCCUCCAUUCCUCCCAUGCUUCCUCCCCAUCACCAUUAUGAGUCUGCAUCCUCACCAAAGAAAACAUUUGGCCUUUGGUUUUUUGGGAUUGGCUUGCUUCACUUAUCAUUAUAUUCUCUAACUCCAUCCAUUUACCUGCAAAUGCCAUGAUUUCAUACUCUUUAAUGCUGAGUAACAUUCCAUUGUGUAUAUAUACCAAAGUUUCCUAUCCAUUCAUCUACUGAAGGGCAUCUGAGUUGGUUCCACAGUUUAGCUAUUGUGAAUUGUGCUGCUAUAAUUGUAACUGUGUCCCUGUAGUAUGCUGUUUUUAAAUCCUUUGGGUAUAAACUGAGAAGUGGAAUAGCUGGGUCGAAUGGUGUUUUCAUUCCAAGUUUUCCAUGGAAUCUCCAUACUGCUUUCCAGAUUGGCUACACCAAAUUUGCAGUCCCACCAGCAGUGUAUGAAUGUGCCUUUUCCCCCACAUCCUCACCAACACUUAUUGUUUGUAUUCUUGAGAGCUGCCAUUCAGACAGGGGUGAGAUGAAAUGUUAGAGUAAUUUUGAUUUGCAUUUUUCCAAUUGCUAGAGAUGUUGAAAAUUUUUUCGUAUAUUUGUUGAUUGUAUAUCCUCUUCUGAGAAGUGUCUGUUCGUUUCCUUGGCCCAUUUAUUGACUGGGUUAUUUGUUUUUUUUUGUGUGUUAAGGUUUUUGAGUGCUUUAAUAUCCUAGAGAUUAGUGCUCUAUCUGAUGUGUUUGUGGUAAAGAUUUGCUCCCAUUCUGUAGGUUCCAAGAGUUUGUAUUUUUAAAAAUGCUAAAUGAUUAAGAAGCAUCUCAACAUAUUUGAUAAGAGAAUUAAGGUUGAGUAGUACUAACAUUUUCUUUUUCUCGUAUCGUCUAAUGUGUGUAUAUAUACACACACAUAUAUAUAUAUAUAUAUAUAUAUAUAUAUAUAUAUAUAUAUAUAUGAAUUCUACAAAGAUAUUGCUGAAUUGCAGUAUUAUUUUUAGAGAACUGUUUCAAAUAAAAGUUACAAUAGUUACAAAGUAAAAUUAAGAGUUUCUCCAUAGACAUUGGUGCCAGAACUCACAGUGAAUGAAAAACAUAACAUUUAAGUGACUUUGAGGGUUGGGGUUUGGGCAAGUGUACAAAAUUUCCUUAGAAAGAGUGAAACUCUCUAAAACUUCUAGAAAUAACAGUGAACUGCUCAAAAAUUGUCCCUAAAUAUUGAAAUUUCUUUGUUUAUAUGCAUCUGUUGAGGAAUCAUUACUGUAGUACUAAUACCAUUAUAAACAUUUGAAAUCAAAUAUUUAAAGGCUAAAUUACUGGGUGUUCUGACAUGCACUGGCAAUCCCAGCUACUCAUGAGGAUGGGCCAGGAGGAUCACUUGAGUCCAGGUAGUUAAGAAUCCUGCCUGAGCAAUAUAGCAAGAUCACAUUUUAAAACAAAACAAAUGUAUUAAAGAUUAAGGUUUAUUGAUGUCAAAUUCCUGUAUAAAAUAAUUUUCAUUUACACUUUUGAUAGGUUCAUUGUGCUUCCAAGUCUAGAUAUGAGUUUCAAUUGUUUGAUCUAGUUAAGAUAAAGAGGAGAUAGAGAACCUAAGUUGAUGAAACAGGCUGGAGACUGCAGUGCCACCUUAGAAGCUCAAGUAGGGCGUUUGAUGUCAAUCAAAUGACAGGUCAGCCAGGCAGCUAUUCAGAGUCACGGAGUCAUGGCUGAGGAAGAGCAAGGUUCAAGUUAGUCAUACUGAUCUCAUAAACUUAAGUGGCUCAGGCUAGAAGCUAUAUUUACCUCACACUAUUAGUUGAUUUGAAUGUUCAUUCAUCCAUUCAGUUGCUGUCUAUUGAGCACCUCCUGUACCAAGUAACAGACAACAUAAACACCAUUUGCUCUGGCUUCUAGGGAGGACAGCUAACCCUUGACACACCUACCUACUGUUUUCCAGGCAUUGUGCUAAGCUCUUCUUCAUGGACUCUAUGAGAACUUAGUAGUUACUAUCUAGAUUUCCCAGAUAAAGAAACUGAAUCUUGGGAGGUCUGCCGUCAAAUUGGAAGAGAAUGUCAUAGGGCCACUUGGUUCAUCCUCUAAAGUGAAACUUUCUUGUCAAAAGCCAUUGCCAGUUGUGGUAGACAGUUUCUCAGUACCUAAAAAUAUACCUUCUCUUCUUUCACUUUCAGUUUCUGUGCUGGGAACACGAGCCCCAUCUUUUGGCCAGAUGUGAAAUUUCAUAAAGAAGAAAGACUCCGGAACAGGACAAACUAAUCAAGGAUUAUCUUAUUCUCCUCUGUAUAAAAUGUUUUUCUCCUCUAGGAAUUUUUAAGACCAAGGGAAGGGGCUCAGUUUGGCAGCAACUCUGUAGCUCAGUAUUUAUUUUAUUCUUAUGGGGAAGAAAGAUAGAAAAUUAUGGAUAGAUAAUUAAUUUUAUUAUAUUAGUACUUAAAAUACAUGUUCAGGUUUGCAUUUUAAAAGUUCCUCCUUAAUGGUGUAAUGUUUAUUUCAUCAACAUAUCAUUUUAAAAUUUAAAAUCUUGGAACAGUUAACAAAGAAAGAGAAAAGUUGUCCUUUGCCCAAAAAUAAAGUCUCAGAUUUACAAACUCUGAACAGACCUAGUAAUAUUUAACAACCACUAUGGGGAAUCUUUACAAAUAAAAAUUGACAUAUAUGCUCUUUGGGAGAAUUUCUCCUUUCAAGCUUUCACAAAGACAUGCAAGGAAUUAUAAAUACAUACAUAAGCAAAAUAAGACUAGGCAACAAUUUUUAUAAUGUGUGUAGGCACUAAUUAUAGUGUUUCCUUUUAUGAAAGCAAAAGUAGUAAAACAUCUCUUAUAGUUUGAGACUAUAGAAGUAGAGAGCUACAUUCUAGCAAUAGAAAACUUGUGGGCUGAGAUUGCCUUCCCCAGGUAUGAAUGGGGGUUAUUAAUUGCCCUCAACUGGCAUCAGUCCCAGGAUUCUGUCCUUUUCUAUUUAACCAUCUUAUCAUGGAACAGAAUUAACUCAGCUCUACAGGGCUUACAAGAUCAAAGGACGCCAUUUUAAAGAGUAACAUUUACUAAAAAUUUAGAUCUAUAUAUUUAACAAGCAAACCUUUUGAUAUAUCUAAAAUUAAACCUUUAAUUUUUUCUCUCUCACAGUUCCUUUAAAUUAUUCUUGGUGGGGAUGGGGUGGGAUUGAUUGGUGGAAAUUUUCUCUUCCUGG